RNAcentral lists this transfer RNA (74 nucleotides) under Vampirovibrionales bacterium. RNAcentral describes it as "tRNA-Met". It matches the Rfam family "tRNA". Rfam says of the family: Transfer RNA (tRNA) molecules are approximately 80 nucleotides in length. Their secondary structure includes four short double-helical elements and three loops (D, anti-codon, and T loops). The record is from RNAcentral. Lineage: Bacteria; Bacillati; Candidatus Melainabacteria; Vampirovibriophyceae; Vampirovibrionales.
CGCGGGGUGGAGCAGUCCGGUAGCUCGUUGGGCUCAUAACCCAAAGGUCGCAGGUUCAAAUCCUGUCCCCGCAA